Molecule: transfer RNA, 75 nt
Filed under: Candidatus Poseidoniales archaeon
Lineage: Archaea; Methanobacteriati; Thermoplasmatota; Candidatus Poseidoniia; Candidatus Poseidoniales
Description: Marine Group II euryarchaeote tRNA-Met
Rfam family: tRNA
About the family: Transfer RNA (tRNA) molecules are approximately 80 nucleotides in length. Their secondary structure includes four short double-helical elements and three loops (D, anti-codon, and T loops). Further hydrogen bonds mediate the characteristic L-shaped molecular structure. tRNAs have two regions of fundamental functional importance: the anti-codon, which is responsible for specific mRNA codon recognition, and the 3' end, to which the tRNAs corresponding amino acid is attached (by aminoacyl-tRNA synthetases). tRNAs cope with the degeneracy of the genetic code in two manners: having more than one tRNA (with a specific anti-codon) for a particular amino acid; and 'wobble' base-pairing, i.e. permitting non-standard base-pairing at the 3rd anti-codon position.
Source: RNAcentral
GGGCCCGUAGCUUAGUCUGGUUAGAGCGCCCGGCUCAUAACCGGGUGAUCAUCGGUUCAAAUCCGGUCGGGCCCA